GUACACUCCUACGGGAGGCAGCAGUGGGGAAUAUUGGACAAUGGGCGCAAGCCUGAUCCAGCCAUGCCGCGUGAGUGAUGAAGGCCCUAGGGUUGUAAAGCUCUUUAACCGGUGAAGAUAAUGACGGUAACCGGAGAAGAAGCCCCGGCUAACUUCGUGCCAGCAGCCGCGGUAAUACGAAGGGGGCUAGCGUUGUUCGGAUUUACUGGGCGUAAAGCGCACGUAGGCGGACUAUUAAGUCAGGGGUGAAAUCCCGGGGCUCAACCCCGGAACUGCCUUUGAUACUGGUAGUCUUGAGUUCGAGAGAGGUGAGUGGAAUUCCGAGUGUAGAGGUGAAAUUCGUAGAUAUUCGGAGGAACACCAGUGGCGAAGGCGGCUCACUGGCUCGAUACUGACGCUGAGGUGCGAAAGCGUGGGGAGCAAACAGGAUUAGAAACCCUAGUAGUCCC
RNAcentral lists this ribosomal RNA (449 nucleotides) under uncultured organism. RNAcentral's name for it is "partial 16S ribosomal RNA". It matches the Rfam family "Bacterial small subunit ribosomal RNA", at positions 331 to 797 of the family's 1533-position model. The record is from RNAcentral.